CCUACGGGUGGCAGCAGUGGGGGAUAUUGCACAAUGGAGGAGACCCUGAUGCAGCGACGCCGCGUGAGUGAAGACGUAUCUCGGUAUGGAAAGCUCUAUCAGCAUGGAAGUAAAUGACAGUACCUGACCAAGAAGCUCCGGCUAACUACGUUCCAGCAGCCGCGGUAAUACGGAGGGUGCAAGCGUUAUCCGGAUUUACUGGGUGUAAAGGGAGCGUAGACGGUUAGGUAAGUCUGGAGUGAAAGCUCGGGGCCCAACCGCGGGACUGCUUUGGAAACUGUGUAACUGGAGUACAGGAGGGGCAGGCGGAAUUCCUGGUGUAGCGGUGAAAUGCGUAGAUAUCAGGAGGAACACCGGCGGCGAAGGCGGCUUGCUGGACUGAAACUGACGCUGAGGCUCGAAAGCGUGGGGAGCAAACAGGAUUAGAUACCCGGGUAGUC
This 440-nucleotide ribosomal RNA is filed under the name uncultured bacterium. RNAcentral's name for it is "partial 16S ribosomal RNA". It matches the Rfam family "Bacterial small subunit ribosomal RNA", at positions 338 to 795 of the family's 1533-position model. The record is from RNAcentral.